CAUACUUUUGUCUUUGACAGAUAUCACAAGCACGCACAAAUUCUCUCACCGACUUCUGCAUUCCCAGCCAAUAUAAAUUAUCCGCCAGCUUCCGAUAGGUUCUCAAGAAACCUGAAUGUCCACCAGUAGGAGUGCAAUGAAAUACCUCCAACAGUAGAGGGAUAGAUGGGGACUUAGGAGAAAGAACCAGCCUGCCAUGAUAAAACAACACACCUUGCUUAACAAAAUAGCCUGGCUUAGAAUCAGGAGCAGACAACACGGUUUGUAUCAUGUCCUGAAUUUCUGGAUCAUCUUUCACCUCAUCUAAUUUUUUUUUGCUAUCGGUCCAUUGCGGGUACGAAAUCAAGGUACCAUGGAUCAUCUUUCACCUCAUCUAAUUUUUUUUUGCUAUCGGUCCAUUGCGGGUACGAAAUCAAGGUACCCAAAUCAGCAUCGUCAUCACGUCUGGAUAGAGCAUCAGCAGCUUUGUUA
Molecule: long non-coding RNA, 471 nt
Filed under: Lathyrus oleraceus (garden pea)
Lineage: Eukaryota; Viridiplantae; Streptophyta; Magnoliopsida; Fabales; Fabaceae
Description: Pisum sativum (pea) long non-coding RNA (PSAT_LNC036899)
Source: RNAcentral